RNAcentral lists this ribosomal RNA (316 nucleotides) under uncultured Gammaproteobacteria bacterium. RNAcentral's name for it is "bacterial SSU rRNA". It matches the Rfam family "Bacterial small subunit ribosomal RNA", at positions 163 to 474 of the family's 1533-position model. The record is from RNAcentral. Lineage: Bacteria; Pseudomonadati; Pseudomonadota; Gammaproteobacteria.
CUAAUACCGCAUAACGUCGCAAGACCAAAGAGGGGGACCUUCGGGCCUCUUGCCAUCAGAUGUGCCCAGAUGGGAUUAGCUAGUAGGUGGGGUAACGGCUCACCUAGGCGACGAUCCCUAGCUGGUCUGAGAGGAUGACCAGCCACACUGGAACUGAGACACGGUCCAGACUCCUACGGGAGGCAGCAGUGGGGAAUAUUGCACAAUGGGCGCAAGCCUGAUGCAGCCAUGCCGCGUGUAUGAAGAAGGCCUUCGGGUUGUAAAGUACUUUCAGCGAGGAGGAAGGCAUUGUGGUUAAUAACCACCGUGUUUGACG